UGAAGACUGCCCCACCUGAAAGCAAUCUACCCAAGUAAAAAGGAGAAGGAAGAAAAGAAAAGGGCAGAAUGCAACUGAAGCCCACAAUUUGGGAUAUCUAGGAUGGGGAGGAAGAAGAGCAAAUAAGAGAAAUUCCAAUUACAUGUGCACAGAGAGGAGACAGAAGGAGUCAAGAGAGAACAGGCCAGCAUAGCUUGUGAUCUGGAACAGGAAGGUGUAGCCACUUGAAUGACCAGUAAAUGGAGACCAUGCAGGAGUGAGGAGGCUCAGGUUGGAUGAUUUCAGUGGGCGAGUCAGAGAACUAAUCAAUUUUGAAACAGCAUCUGCAAAAAAUAGAUAAUGUUCAUAUAAAGGGCAACCUAGUCAUAAAGCUUCAUUGAUGUGAAUAAAUAAACAUACAGG
Long non-coding RNA from Symphalangus syndactylus (siamang), 402 nucleotides. RefSeq lists it as uncharacterized. The record is from RefSeq and is a predicted model, not a curated record. NCBI's taxonomy places the organism in Eukaryota, Metazoa, Chordata, Mammalia, Primates, Hylobatidae.